GAGACUCUGUGCGCGUGCAUAUCAAUAAGCGGAGGAAAAGAAACUAACAAGGAUUCCCCUAGUAACGGCGAGUGAAGCGGGAAGAGCUCAAAUUUGAAAUCUCAGAGGGUUUCCCUUUACGAAUUGUAGUUUAAAGAAGUGUUUUCUGUUGGAGUUUCGGUAAAAGUUCUUUGGAAUAGGACAUCAUAGAGGGUGAGAAUCCCGUAUUUGACCGUUACUUUCCAGCUGUGUGAUACACUUUCAAAGAGUCGGAUUGUUUGGGAAUGCAGUCCAAAAUGGGUGGUAAAUUUCAUCUAAAGCUAAAUAUUGGCGAGAGACCGAUAGCGAACAAGUACCGUGAGGGAAAGAUGAAAAGAACUUUGAAAAGAGAGUUAAACAGUACGUGAAAUUGUCAAAAGGGAAGCGUUUGACACCAGUGUUGUUCUUCCGAAAAUCAAUUACGAAUGUUUUGUUUUUGAGGAGUUAUGACUUCAUCGGCUUGCUCCUUUCUUUACGAAACUUUCUUAAUGCACUUUUCGGUUAACAAGUCAACAUCAAUUUCUUUUGUUGUAAAAGGGUAUGAGGAAGGUGGCUUUCUUUUCGGAGAAAGUGUUUAUAGCCUUGUGCCUCUACAAUCGGAGAGAUUGAGGUCUGCAGCGUAGAUCCUUCGGGGUUAGAUACGUUUGUGCUAAGUUAUAGCUUUUCAUAGACAACUUGUUGACUAUGUUUAGUCUUGUAGCUUACUCGCUUAUGCUAUUUUACCUACGCUUAGGAUGUUGACAGCAGUAUAGACUGU
This 775-nucleotide ribosomal RNA is filed under the name uncultured Neocallimastigales. RNAcentral's name for it is "partial large subunit ribosomal RNA". It matches the Rfam family "Eukaryotic large subunit ribosomal RNA", at positions 23 to 635 of the family's 3401-position model. Lineage: Eukaryota; Fungi; Neocallimastigomycota; Neocallimastigomycetes; Neocallimastigales. The record is from RNAcentral.